RNA transcript from Xiphias gladius (swordfish), 3344 nucleotides. It is a transcript of the gene named RNA-binding protein 4B-like, with no coding region annotated. NCBI's taxonomy places the organism in Eukaryota, Metazoa, Chordata, Actinopteri, Istiophoriformes, Xiphiidae. The transcript has 6 exons. The record is from RefSeq and is a predicted model, not a curated record.
ACUAUCACUUUCAUGGGUUUCUCUGUUCGCUCCCGUUGCUUUUUAUCAUCACUGUAGUUUUACACGUCUUCAUACGGGACUGCAUGUGGCCUAAACUGAGUUUUAUUUGGUUCUGUCACGGGUGACAAAAUGGCUAACGCCUGGCACUUAACGUUAGCUUGCUAAUAGACUCCAUUCAAAUGGCACGGGCCUAGCUAGCAGCUCACUGGCCAGGAAGUACAAACACUGAAACUUCUUCGACUCCAGACUUAUCUGCGUCAGCCGUAUUCGAAGUCGUACAGUUUUUACACUUGUAGCAAAAUUUCAACGAUAGUAAGAGUGAAGAGAAGUACACUGGAGCAACAAUGGUGAAGAUUUUCAUCGGGAACCUGUCUCAGCACGCUGGGAAGGAUGAGGUUGAGGCUCUGUUUACUCAGUAUGGCACAGUGACAGAAUGUGCCAAGUACAAAAACUAUGCUUUUGUCCAUAUGGAAGACCGCAAGUCUGCCACGAAAGCCAUCCGUGAGCUCCAUCUCUAUAAGCUGAACGGUAGGCCCAUCAAUGUGGAGCUCAGCAGAGGGAAGAACCAGGGCCCUGUGAAGCUCCACAUUGCCAAUGUAGAGAAGGGAGCUGACGACGAGCUCCGUGCUCUCUUUGAAGAGUACGGCACAGUCGACGAGUGUUCCAUUGUCAAGGACUUUGCCUUUGUGCACAUGGCCAAUUCUGAUGAGGCCAUGGAUGCCAUCAAGGGACUGGACAACACUGAGUUUCAAGGGAAGCGCAUACAUGUUCAGAUAUCAAAAAGCAGACCCAGAGGGGCACCCGAGGAGGAGGCCUAUCCACCUCCGCCAGGCAGAGGAGGCUAUUUUCCUCCUCACUACCCAGGGGAGAGACCCGAGCCUCCUUACAGAGGCCGCAUGUCCGCUUUCCCGCCUCCACCUCCGCCCCCCCCUCCCCCGAGACGAGCACCUUAUCCCGACCGCGGCUAUGGCGAGCGAGAGGGCUACGGGGUGGUCGAUUACUAUGAGAAAUACAGAGCCCGUCCUUACAGCACCCCAGGCUAUGAUGACAGGCGUGCCAUCCCCCCGCCUCCGCCUCCUCCCUCGGCACUGGUUAGAGAACGUCUCGGAAUGGGGUCCCUUGACCCGUAUGAGCGGCGCCCGCUCCCCCAUCCUCCUCCGUCCUACAUGCCUAGGGACCGAAGCCCUAUCGGACGAGCCCCCAUUCCGCCUGCCCCGUCAGCUGGUAACGGGUACUCCUAUGAACGGUCCCGGCUCUCUCCAAUGUCCAGACCGCCGAUGUAUGCAGCCCCCCCCCCCAGGGAAUCCUUUCCAGAGAGAUUGCCUCCGCCGCCGCCGCCGCCACCUCGCUAUGCAGGCUAUUAGGCUCCUGAGAGUGUAAUACAAGGUUGUUAGACUCUAUGCAGGAGUUGCCGGCUCAUGGUAAGUCAUCUGUGGAAGACGUCCGGCAUCCGGAAGAAAAGAGCGUUGUCUCUGCUCUGGCGACUAUAGUGGGUCUUGAAGGGAAUUCACAGGACUUGGUGGUUUUCGAACAUUAUGGGAUCGGACAGUCCUGUGGUUAAAGGAAGUGGAUUUGGUCCGGUUUGGUCCAUUGGUUGGUGAGCUGGAUUGACUGUCCCGGUUCAGUCCUCAGAAUAUUUGUGCGCUGCAGCAGAUGACACCAAAAUAAUGGGGUUGGACUCAGUCCUACAGAUUGGUUCUUACUGACUCAGGACAUGUCAAACUUGAAAAAGAGACUUUUUUUUAAAAAACCUUACCCCCAUCCAUACCAACUAAAUGAUGAAACUGAGAUAUGGCUGAAACCAUAUAGUGUUAAAAUUAUGAUUGUGUUUUGGUACAGUCCCUAAGGCCCGGAACAUUUACUUGAAACCUAUGCAUGACUUUUUAUAUAUAACUGUUAUGUUUUGCUGUUAAUUUAUAUUUUUGUCUGUGAACUUAUAUUUGUGAACCUACAACUAUUUCAUACACUAUGUCACUGUGUAAGGGCAGCUGCACACAAUAUUUGUAGCACUGACUUUAAUAAAUUGUACUUUUUAAAUAAUUUUCUUUGCUUUUUAAAGAAAAAUAAAUAUCAAAAAUAGAUAUAUCUUCAAUAGUUGGAGCGUGUUCAUCCCUGGUGGGUUAUUGUGAUUCUAGAAAGAGAGAUUUUGUUUGGAUCUAUUCUGCAAGUCCAUUAUAUGGACUGGGCUGUAUGACUUUUAACUCUAGUGGUUAAGCUGACUAAGAGAGGCCUCCCAGUUUGACACAAGCUUUGUUGUAGUUAACAGUCUCACUGUAAAAGUUGAGUCUGAUAUUGAAAUAUGUGUGGGGGGGGAAAGAUUCCCUUGUGGGAUAUAAAUACAGGAAUUACAAAUUACACCAUUUUUAAUCAACUCAGCUGUAAUGUAUCCUGCAGUAACAGUUUAUUUUGUAACAAUCUAUUUAUCACUAUGAGUUAAUGUCACUUGAUUUAUCAUAACUUUUGGCAAUGUUCAGCACUGAUAAGUGAGAAAAACUGACCAGCAGUAGAUCAGUGCAGGGCAAAAAAAGCUAAAACAAAACAAAAAUAACUAAAUUAUGCUUUCUGUAUUUACUUCCAGCUGGAUCUUAAGUGCAGUAAAUACUGGUUGAAAGGCAGGAUACAUCCUGGACAGGUAGUCAGCCAUAGAUGGGUACAUAGUGUAGUUGCUCUACUUGGUAAAAGACAACAAAACAAAAGCAGUCUGAAUUACUCAACCUAACACUUAGUCAGUCCUCUACAUGCACCAAAGAAUGGGUGUCAUUUUCUCUAUUCCCUUUUUCUGAAGUUUUGUUUGCAGGUUCCCUGUAAGCACACUUCCUUCUUGUUGAGAUGGGAGUUUCAAGAAAUCACGAGUGGUUCUUAGAGUCUCGAUACUGUGUUGACCGGAGGUUGUUUUAUAGGGUUUGCUGGACUGCUGCAACUGCAACCUGCAUGACGAUCUAAAACGUUUGGACCACAAUCCAAACUUUUAUUGCUGGUGGUGUCGUAAUUAUUGGACCCUGCGGUUGUCACCACCCGCAGCAACACUGUUGUCACUCUAUUCAGUUUAGUAAGAGAAGGAUUCUGCAAUCAGUGCGGACUUUGUUCUAAGACUAUUAGAAAACAACACCCGUUUCUGGACCCGAUUCAAACCCAAUACCUGACCUUUGUUUCUCCAUCAUCGAUUUGUGCUGAUAUUAGCUAAGAGGGCUGGACCAAAUAUGCUGAAUGAAAUAUGCUGUUAUUACACAAAUCUGGUUUUAAGGUGAUGCACUGUCUCACCUUUGCAUCUGUAUUUGUUGUUGUUGUCUUAUGAUGUCAUGCUGAGUUGAGGACCUAAUAAACAUGCCUGCUCUUCAAAGUAA